UGCCCUCGGCCUUCCGCUGGGGAAGAAGGUGGAGAUACUUUAGCCGAGUAACCGAAGCUCAAGGCCACCCCCUGGCCCCGGGGCGGAUGGGGGGAAGUGUGCCCUUGGGCCGACUUCCCCUCCCCGGCCCUGCCUGGGUCAGCUGGUCUUGUUUUGCAGGCUCCGACCCCUCCCGGUCGGGACGAUGCGGGCCACAGGUCCCCAGACCCCGCUCCACGCCGCCCGAGCGCCGGCCUCAGCCUCCUCCUUCCUCGGCGCGCUCUUGGCCUCCGCCUCCCGGGCCAAUGCCCUGCGGCCUGGCCGCGGCCUCUUCCGCCCUACGCUGGCCCUUCCCUGCGAGCGUGGGCAGGGGGAAAGCCUGCUCUCCCGAAUGAUCCUUCAGAGGCCACGGCCUCCUUCUUAUGAAAAGAAUAUUCACAUCCCCAGGAAGGCCUUGGCGGGAAUACGCCCCUGAAGGGCAGGCAGGCUGCCCGAGAAGCACCAAGGCCCCACUGUGUCGGGUCGGUCCCCUGGGGGCUUUCAGAACCUCUAUCAAGGUUAGGCUCCAGGAAAACAGUGGGCCUUUUCUUCCUUUCAGAACCACCCCACCUGCGGCCCUAACUGACCCUCCUCCCUUCCAGCUUGUUCAGUGGCCUCUACUGUUUGCAGACUCCACAGGAGCAGCCUAUCUCAUUAUUUAUCACAUUAAAAGCAGUACUGGGUGACAGAAGAGAGACAUCCAUCUUCACCUGGGCUCUUCAUUAUGCUUAAUCUACCCAGUGGGGUAGAUCUGUCAAACACACCUCAUUCCCAGGCUGGAGUAAUCCAGAGCCAUCUCUCAACUGAGUGGGUGUAAAUCCCCACAGGUAACUGUGGAACCCCGACUGAAUGGAUAUUGUGUUAAGCUCUGCAGGGACAUCCAGGCAUCCAAUCCAGUCCUGGUGAAACACAGGCCUGUACAUGAGGCUGAAGUGGAGAGUGCUUCUGACAUUUGGCUCAGGUUCUUUCCAUUAACUGUGCUUCAUUCCUCUUCUAACAAGGAAGCCUCAUCUGCAGGAGAAAACUUCUUGUCAAUCCUUAAAAUGGCCACUUUGCUAAGUAAAAGUCUGAUAUAAUCAAGGUUGUGAAUUCCUAGAGAAGAGGGUCUAAAUAUUUAUUCCUCCUUCUUGCCUCACAAUGAAGGAUGAUAUUCGAAAUAGUUAAUAUAUGAGGCUAAGGCGGGAGGAUUACAAGUUGGAAGCCAGCCUCAGCAAAUUUGCAAGAUUCAAUAGGAGUUUGUGAAUAACUCUGAAGAGCUUUGCAAGAAACAGGACACUCCAUACCUAUGUUAUCCAAUAUGGCUGCUUCAAAUUCUUGGACUCAAGGGAUUCUGCUUCAGCCUCCAGAGUAGAUGAAGCUACAGAUGUGCCACUGAGCCCAGCUGAGUCCCCAUCUUUUUUUUUUUCCAGUGAUGGGGAUCCAAUCCAAGAUCCACAGAUGCUAGGCAAGUACUCUCAGAGUUACCCCCUUAGCUCUUUAGUUAUCAUCUUGAAUAGCACAGAUACAGAACAUUUCCAUCAUCAAAGAAAAUUCCACUGGACAUCUCUUUGGCUAAGCAAAAGUAUUGUGUAUUUCACAGGUUUUAAAAAAUUAUAUUUGGAACUGUGAAAUUUGCAGCAAACCCCAGAAUGCACCCUCUGACAUAGCUAAUAAGCCAGUCUUCCUGUUCUGGUGGUUACUCUUACUGGAUAUGCAAAGUAUUUGAUUAAAAGGUAAAAGCAACUUUGUUCCAGAUAAAUUAGUUGAUAGGAGACAAACAGCUCUUGCAGAUGUACAUUGGUGGAGGAAAUAGUUCUGCUUUCUUCAGAGACUACCAGGAAAUAAGCUAGCUAUCAAUGACAUUUUAAAAGGUCUUCAAUGAGAAGUGUGUUAGUUAUUAGUAUUAUCAUUCAAAAAUUUUCUUAAUAAUCAGAAAGCAUCAUCAACUAGACUAUCUGGUUGUAACUCAUUGUUGUUAAUGAACUUGGUAAACAGUACUGCCUCCCUUAAUUAGCCUUUUGGGAGCAAUCAUGUUUUGAAUUGCCUACCUGCAGUCCUGGGAGUCUUGCAAGAAACAGGAAUAGUUUAAUCUCUAGCCGAGAUAUGUGUCAAAAGCUGAUUUCUAUACAUGACUUGGAGAAUCUUAAGUAGAAACUGGCAGACAUGCCAAAUGUGACCAGCUGAAGUGUGUGAAGACUAUAUUAGCAUCAAAGGCAUAAAUCAUAAAGGAAAUGAUUGAUAAACUUGGCACAAAUGUAUUAAAAUGUUAUAUAUCAGAAAGGUAUGAUGGGCUGGGGAUAUGGCUCAAGCCGUAGCGCGCUUGCCUGGCAUGUGUGCGGCCUGGGUUCGAUCCUCAGCUCCACAUACAAACAAAGAUGUUGUGUCCGCCAAGAACUAAAAAAUAAAUAUUAAAGAAAAAAAAAGGUAUGAAAAGCAAAAUAAAGGCAGAUGACUUAAAUUUUUAAAAAAUUCUACAUGAGGCAUAGUUGGCACUGUAUAAAUAAACAUGGCAAAAUGUUUGACUUUAGGACUAAUCAAGAACUGCAGAUUAAAAUAACAGUGACAUACCACUUUUAUCUGUUGGCUUGGCAACAGUAAAAAAUAUAUAUAUAAAACAGUGCUGGAAUUACUGAGGGGAAAUGUGUAAUAUUACACACUUUUGAUGGGAGAAAAAAGUGGGAUAAGCUUUUUGGUGGGCAGGUUGAUAACAUGUAAAAAAAUAACUUUCCCUACCCACCCCCAUUUUUAUAGGACUGGGGAUCAAGCCCAGGUCCUCACACAUGCUACAGAAGGGCUCUACCACUGAGCUAUUACUCCCAGCCCCAUGGCUAAAAUCUUUGACAGAGCAAUUUCAUUUCUAGGAAAUUAUUCCAAGAAAAUGUUACAAAUUCUCAAACUUCUGUGUAUAAUGGCAAUGUAGAUGAUGUGUGUUUUUUGUUUGUUGGAUCCUCUUUCUAGAUGUACACUCCUAACCUUGAUGGUUGGUCCAAAACAGAUGUGGAAGGAAUGUACAUCAGGCCACUCUUUCUUUCACAGGGUUAAGUUGAAAAUGGAAAAAGGAGUUGCUCUUGGCUUUCUGGCUGUAAGGUAGGGAUUCUAGAACUAAGAAAUAAAUGACACGGAAAGACAGAAAGUGUUCUGGUAUAAUUUGAGCUGAUUGAUGUGGUUAACCUGAUGGCCAGUGUACUUUCUUCCUUUCUAUGGUUAUUAUGAAAACCAAUUAAAUCUAUCUUUUUGCUAAACACAGUAUGAUUGUAGACUUCUACUUGUGUCGAAGACAGAAUAACAAUAACCAAAUUUAUCCAGCCACUUGAAAUGACUACAAACAUGGAAAAAUAUUUUUCAAUGUUUCUUUGUUACUGUUGAUGUUGUAUUGUUAUUAUUAGUGCUUGGGAUUGAAUGCAGGGAUUUGUGUAUGCUAUGCAUGCUCCUAUCAUUAAGUUACAUCCCCAGCUCCCAUAUAUAUAUAGAGAGAGGCACACAGUCUAACUAUAAUGUUAUAUAUAUAAAAUAAUGACUUUUAAAAAUGACAUUGGACAUCAGACAAUAACCCCCAAAGAUGGGAAGCAAAUGAGGUAAGCAUUAUGAUUGUCCAGUUUACUGCCUGGAGAGUUUCUAGGUGGUGGCAAAAGGCAGAACUUUAUAGUAGAGUCUGGCAGAUUCCCUGAGAUGAGGAGAUGGAGCUGAGAGUCCAGGGAAACCCAAAUAGCUAAGGUUUACAGGGUAGAAUAACAGGAGAGAUCUGCACAGAGAGAGAAAAAAAGACUAGCAGCAACCAAAUUGAAAGAUCUUCAGAGGGUCCUCAUUGGGUAUUCAGCAGAGUAUUCAAGAACUCAUGAAUGUAUGAUACUACUCCAAGUCAGAGAAAGAACCACCUGAAAAAUCAUGGAAACAAUAGCUACAACUCACGUGGGGCCAGAAGUGGUGGCUGUUUCCACCUGCCAGAUCAGUACUCCUAUCAUUCACAGAGCAUUAGGUAAAAUAUUCAGAAGGGUCUUGCCUCGGUUGUGGGACAAAAUUGGCACUAGACUAAAUGUUGCUCUAUUUCUGUCAAGCAAAUCUUAACCCCACCCCCACAAGAUCAAAUUGAGUUUUUUUUUAAAUAAAGAACUAAUAUAAUUUGUUGUUAUUAUUAUGUUAUUAUUAUUGGUACUAGGAAUUGAAUCCAGGGGUUCUCUACCACUGAACCACAGCCUUUUUUUUAUUUUUAAUUUUGAGACACAGUCUAAGUUGCUGAUGCUGGCCUGUAAUUAGGAAUUCUCUUGCCUCUGCCUCCCAACCUAUCAGGUUGCUAGGGUUAUAGGCAUGCACUACCACACCUGGCUCUAUAAUUUAUUUUUUUAAAACCACCAAGACCCCUUAGUAAAAAUGAAAAGACACAAUUAGGCAAUUAUAAAUAGGAUAUGCAUAUAAGAAAUGGUAUACAAUUUCACAAGUAAAUAAAAGUACAAAUUAAAGAAUCAGGACACAACCUUUCACUUACCAAAUUAGCGAAGUUGUAAAACCUGAAGUUUCCUGCAGAUGUGAAUGGGUUGGGAAGGGGAAUGCUUGGUCAGGUUGGUGGGACAAUUGACUGGUCUGAGAAAAGCAAGAUCUUAGAGGAUCAAACUAUUUCCAAAUAACUAUGUCCCAGAACAAACUCAAGAAUGCCAGUGGAUGUGGGGCUGGGCUUACAGCUCAGUGACAGAGUGCUUGCUUAGCAUGUGUGAGGCACUGGGUUUGAUCCUUAGCAGCACAUAAAAUAAAGGCAUUCUAUCCAUCUACAACUUAAAAAAAAAAAAAAGAAGAAUACCAGUGAGCCAGUAUGGUAGUGCUCACCUAUAAUCCCAGCAACUCUGGAGGCUGAGGCAAAAGGAUCACAAGUUCAAGGCCAGUCUGGACAACUUAGUGAGACCCUGUUUCAAAAUAAAAAAUAUAAAGGACUGGGGAUGUGGCUCAGUGAUAGAGCACCCCUGGGUUCAAUCCUCAAUACUCUUCCCAACCCCACCCUCCAAAAAAUGUAAAAGAGAAAAAAUACUAAGUGGACUACGAAAAUAUCUAGUCCCUUUCAAAAUAAAUUCACAAUGAAUGUUAUUAAAUACAAAAUUACUGAGCACAUAAACAGGAAACUAUGACCUAUAAUGAGGCAAGUAAUUAGUCAAACUCAGAACUGAUGGGGAUAUUAGAUUUAGUAGGCAAGGACAUUAAAAUAGUUAUUAUAAUUCUAUUCUACAGGUUCAAAAUGCUAGAGGAAAGAUUAAAUAGAGACAUGAAAGAAGUUUAUCCAUAUUUUAGUAUUUACUCGUACUGCAUUCUUUUAGUGCCCAAAUAAUAUUCAAUUGUAUGGAUUUACCAUGUUGCAUAUCCAUUCAUUAGUUGAUGGAUUUUGGGGUUGUUUCCGUUUGGGGGCUAUUAAGAAUAAUGUUGCUAUGAGCUUUCAUGUACUGGUUUUUGCAUGGAUAUGUAUGUGUUGUUAUUUCCCUUGGGUAUAUAUCUUGGAGUGGAAUUGCUGGAUCCAGCUAGGCUUGCUGGAACUGGAUGGUAAACCUGUGUUUAACAUUUUGAGGAAGUACCAAACUGUUCUCCAAACCAGCUAUACCACUUUACAUUCCACCAAUAGUGAAUGAGGGCUCUAAUUUCCCCCCAUCCUCACCAAUAUUUGUUAUUAUUACCUUUCCUUUUGAUUAUAGUCAUCCCAGUGGAUGAAUAGUACCUCAUUGUGGUUUUGACUUUGAUUUCACAGAUGGCUAAUGCUAUUUAGCAAUCUUUUCAUGCACUAAUUGGUCUUUGUAUAUUUUUUGUUGGGAAAUGUCUAUUUAUAUCCUUAGCCUAUU
Marmota monax (woodchuck) is the source of this 5810-nucleotide long non-coding RNA. RefSeq lists it as uncharacterized. The transcript has 7 exons. Lineage: Eukaryota; Metazoa; Chordata; Mammalia; Rodentia; Sciuridae. The record is from RefSeq and is a predicted model, not a curated record.